CGGAAGGGUUAUGCUGCGGCACCCGGCGGCGCGCCCCUCCCCGCCGCUCUCCCCGGCCACUUCCGGCAGCGCAGGCCGGGCACACCCCGCGGCGUGCUGCGGCACCGCCCGCGCAAACGGCGCCCGGACGCCUAAUGCGGUGACACCCUCUGCGGGGGGACGGGUUUGCAUGUGGCACCGAGGCAGCCCAGCCUCUUCCUGCGGCGGGGGAACGGCUUUGUGUGUGGCACCGAGGCGUCGUCCUUGCCGGGCCUAGGCGCGGGGGCUCCGCACCAAGAUGGCGGCCGGCAGCGGCGCCCGGACUGGGUCGGAGGAAGGCGGCACACGGGCGGGCGGUCCCCGAGCUGUGCGGCCGCACGCGCCUCCUCGCUGUCCCCUCACGCCAGGCCCGGGAGGGCCGGGCGACCCCGCGGGCUUUGCCCGGUGUCCUUGGACCUUCCCGGCUGCAGCAAAACGCACCAGAUCUCACACUUUGGCCGUCAUCCACUUUCGCAGUUUUGUUGCUCCUUCGUCCCGUUUUCUUCCCCUGGGGACCCCUUUGCAUGAAAAGCCCCGCCAGGGCCGGCACGGACCCUCCCAGCCGACCCCCCGCCGGGGUGCGGCGGCCGCGGCGUGCUCGGUAGCGGGGGCGGCCGCACCGCUCCCGCCGCCCGACGGCAGGUGUCAGCAGGGGACCGGGCACGGGGCGGCAGCCGCCGCGGUGACGGUCCGGCGGGGGCGCCCAGGGCGGCCUCGGGUCGCAGCCCGCCCAGCUGCAUCCCCCGCCACCUUCGGAAUUCGCCCUGGCGUUUCCCCCACCAAUGAAUUUCGCCCGUCGUUAAGAGGAAGUAACUAAAAAGCAUAAAGGGCUGUUUUCUUUCUAAAAUAAAAUCCCUCGGCCUGACUCGA
This is a non-coding RNA of Phalacrocorax carbo (great cormorant), 888 nucleotides long. Lineage: Eukaryota; Metazoa; Chordata; Aves; Suliformes; Phalacrocoracidae. The record is from RefSeq and is a predicted model, not a curated record.